Long non-coding RNA from Brassica rapa (field mustard), 1671 nucleotides. RefSeq lists it as uncharacterized. NCBI's taxonomy places the organism in Eukaryota, Viridiplantae, Streptophyta, Magnoliopsida, Brassicales, Brassicaceae. The record is from RefSeq and is a predicted model, not a curated record.
AUUUCAUGGGAGCCAGAGAUUUGAGAAGAAGAAAGGAGGCAGAGAGUUCUCGCCGGAGGAGCGUGGUGCUCUCCGACGGCGGAUUCGCGGUGGGAAAACCCUUAUCCUAAAAAUCGCCUUUAGCCCUCAUGAGAGAGAAAAAUCAGAAAAUUCAUAAUUGUUCCCACAUUUAUCCAGCUCUCCUUCUCUAUUUUGUUCGUAGAUUCUUUAUUUUUGUUUCGUUUUUUAAAUCUUUAGAUCUUUAUAAUUUAAAAAAAAAGAAAAAAGAAAUUCAUCUCAAAUUUGUUUUGCACUACUUUUUCAUAUUAUGUUCUUCAUCUAGACUUUUUUGGUUCCUUUUAUUUUAUUUUCUAUGUUUGAUUUUUCUCAUUAAUAUAUUUUAUCUCUAAUGAACUCUCUUUCCAGGGUUGGGAAGUUGCUGAAGAUCCAAGAUGAAUCCAGAGUGAUGGCUAGCAAUUUCGUGAUGUUUGUUGAUAUAUAUAACAUUUAUGUUAGCAACCAUUUUACUUGUUACCCAAUAUUAUUUAUGUUUAUUAGUGUAUCUUUUGUUUUCUAUCGCCAUUUGAGAUCAAUAGAUAUAUAGUUGGUUAAAUAAUAUAUGGCUUGUUAGGCGUUAAAUUUUUCUUGGUACUUUAUUUAUUAGCUAAUACAUUAUUUGUUAGCUGAUACAUAUUUUCGUAGUAGAUACAAUUUUUUAUUAUGUAUGUUAUUGAUUCUUUUAACAUACUAGACAUAAUCAUGAUCAUCUAACAAAGCAUAUUAUAUGGUUUGUUAGCUGAUAUAUGUUUUUUUUUCUGAUUAAAUAUCAAAUUUAUUGAUCAAAGUGAAAAAGGAAUUUACAUAAAAUGAUAUAUUGUUCUAAUCUGUAAAGAAUAAAACAAUGAUAUGUUCUAAUAUGUGUAGACAGUAAACUAUCUCAUAAAUAGUCCGCUCAGCUUAUGGUUUUCCCUAUACUUCAAAGAUGAGAUGCGCUUCUUGACAAUAUUCCCAAUGGCCUUAGUAGUUGUAUCAACAGGUGCACACACCUCCGUGCCGUCUUGAGUUCCUCUCCUUCCACAACAUAUAAAUGACUGUUUGGAAAACUAAGCGGAGGAGUAUAGCAUCGAGUCUGCUCCUGUUCUGGCGUAACAGGGAGGUGACUAUAUCUUUCCAGUCCGGUGUUAUCGCUAGACCAAAUAAUUUCUUUGCUACGUUUAUCCAAACUGUGAAGGUAUAAGGGCAAGCGAAAAACAAAUGAUCUCUGCUUUCAUCCUUGUCUCCACAGUAGACACAUCAUUGCUCCAUUCUCCAUUCUUUCAUUCUAGUGCCUGUUGAUAAUCUGUCCUUGAAAACUAACCAUACCACGAAGGAUUGUCGGGGUAUGGCCUGAGGGAACCACACAAUACAAUGCCAAGGAAGCUUUGUCUUUUUAACUCUCAGGUAGUUCCAAGUCUUGGUAGCUGAGAAAUAUGGUUUCAAAUCAUCCUGGUCAUGUCUCCAUAGAGCUAUAUCUGGCCCUGCAGUAGCUACCGGCUGUGGAAUCUCUGCAAGCUGAUAUAUGAUUUUUUGAAUAGACAGUUUUUUGUUUUUUGUUUGUUAGAUGAUAAAUGGAUUGAUACAUAUUUUGUGAGUAAUACAUUGUCUAAUAAACGGUUCGUUAUUUAAUAAAUGAUUUGUUAUCUGGUACAUGUU